AGAGAUAGAGUUUUCCCCUUCGGGGGACAGAGUGACAGGUGGUGCAUGGUUGUCGUCAGCUCGUGUCGUGAGAUGUUGGGUUAAGUCCCGCAACGAGCGCAACCCUUAAGUUUAGUUGCCAUCAUUAAGUUGGGCACUUUAAGUUGACUGCCGGUGACAAACCGGAGGAAGGUGGGGAUGACGUCAAAUCAUCAUGCCCCUUAUGAUUUGGGCUACACACGUGCUACAAUGGACAAUACAAAGGGUAGCGAAACCGCGAGGUCAAGCAAAUCC
RNAcentral lists this ribosomal RNA (273 nucleotides) under uncultured Halobacillus sp. RNAcentral describes it as "partial 16S ribosomal RNA". It matches the Rfam family "Bacterial small subunit ribosomal RNA", at positions 1002 to 1274 of the family's 1533-position model. The record is from RNAcentral. Lineage: Bacteria; Bacillati; Bacillota; Bacilli; Caryophanales; Bacillaceae.